CUCUGUGUUACGGGAUGAAUUGGAUGUUGCCGAUAAAGCAACGUUUUUGACGUUACCGUAGUAGAAAGCCCCAGCUAACUACGUGCCAGCAGCUGCGGUAAUACGUAGGGGGCAAGCGUUGUCCGGAAUCACUGGGCGUAAAGCGCGCGUAGGCGGUGGAGUAAGUCAGACGUGAAAGGGUUCGGCUCAACCGAGCCAUUGCGUUUGAUACUACCUCACUUGAGUCUAGAAGAGGAAAGUGGAAUGUAUGGUGUAGCGGUGGAAUGCUUAGAUAUCAUAUAGAACACCCGUGGCGAAGGCGGCUUUCUGGUCUAAGACUGACGCUCAUGCGCGAAAGUUUGGGGAGCAACCGGGAUUAGAUACCCCGCUAGUCCUUACUGUAAACGAUGGGUACUAAGUGUAGGGGGAUUCGAUCCCUCUGUGCUGUAGCUAACGCAUUAAGUACCCCGCCUGGGGAGUACGGCCGCAAGGUUAAAACUCAAGGUAAUUGACGGGGGGCCGCACAAGCCGUGGAGCAUGUCGCUUAAUUCGAAGCAACGCGAAGAACCUUAUCAAGGCUUG
RNAcentral lists this ribosomal RNA (561 nucleotides) under uncultured Poribacteria bacterium. RNAcentral's name for it is "bacterial SSU rRNA". It matches the Rfam family "Bacterial small subunit ribosomal RNA", at positions 431 to 983 of the family's 1533-position model. The record is from RNAcentral. Lineage: Bacteria; Candidatus Poribacteria.